CGCGGACGGGAGCCGGCUCGGGUCAGGCGGCGCCGGCGGCGGCAGCGGCCGGUAAUGCCGGGGAACGGAACGGAACGGAACGGAACGGAACGGAACGGAACGGAACGGAACGGGGCUGGAUAUGAUGGGGACGCGAUGCGAUGGGCAGAUGGCAGAUCCAGACCUGUUGGAGGAAUCCUCUUCACUGCUGGAGCCGAGCGAGAUGGGAAGAGGUGCCCCGCUCCGACUCGGGUUCGUGGCUGGCGUGAUCAACCGCGAGCGCAUCCCCACGUUCGAGCGGAUGCUGUGGCGCGUGUGCCGCGGGAACGUCUUCCUGCGCCAGGCCGAGAUCGAGAACCCCCUGGAGGACCCCGUCACGGGGGAUUACGUGCACAAGUCUGUAUUUAUCAUCUUCUUCCAAGGUGACCAGCUGAAGAACAGAGUCAAGAAGAUCUGUGAAGGGUUCUGGGUCUCCCUCUACCCAUGCCCAGAAACACCUCAGGAGCAGAAGGAUGAUCUUCAGAUGGAGCACAGCGGAUCCACUGUCCCAUGUAUUUUAAACAGGAUGCAAACCAAUCAGACCCCACCCACAUACAACAAAACUAACAAGAUUACUUCUGGCUUUCAAAACAUUGUUGAUGCUUAUGGCAUUGGGACAUAACGGGAAAUAAAUCCAGCACCCUAUACCAUCAUCACCUUCCCAUUCCUGUUUGCUGUGAUGUUUGGGGAUUUUGGCCAUGGAAUCCUGAUGACUCUUAUUGCACUCUGCAGGUGGUGAGGAAGAGCGACAAUGAGAUGUUCUACGCAGUAUUCAGUGGUCGAUACAUCAUCCUGCUGAUGGGGCUGUUCUCCACGUACACAGGCCUCAUCUAUAACGACUGCUUCUCCAAAUCCCUCAACAUCCAGGAAUCUUCCAAAAAAUCCCAAUAAACAAGGAUGUGUUGCAGACCCAA
This is an RNA transcript of Vidua chalybeata, 932 nucleotides long. It is a transcript of the gene named V-type proton ATPase 116 kDa subunit a 1-like, with no coding region annotated. The record is from RefSeq and is a predicted model, not a curated record. The transcript is spliced from 8 exons. Lineage: Eukaryota; Metazoa; Chordata; Aves; Passeriformes; Viduidae.